RNAcentral lists this ribosomal RNA (528 nucleotides) under uncultured bacterium. RNAcentral's name for it is "bacterial SSU rRNA". It matches the Rfam family "Bacterial small subunit ribosomal RNA", at positions 777 to 1304 of the family's 1533-position model. The record is from RNAcentral.
AAUAGAUACCCCGGUAGUCCACGCCGUAAACGAUGUCGACUUGGAGGUUGUGCCCUUGAGGCGUGGCUUCCGGAGCUAACGCGUUAAGUCGACCGCCUGGGGAGUACGACCGCAAGGUUAAAACUCAAAUGAAUUGACGGGGGGCCCGCACAAGCGGUGGAGCAUGUGGUUUAAUUCGAUGCAACGCGAAGAACCUUACCUACUCUUGACAUCCAGAGAACUUAGCAGAGAUGCUUUGGUGCCUUCGGGAACUCUGAGACAGGUGCUGCAUGGCUGUCGUCAGCUCGUGUUGUGAAAUGUUGGGUUAAGUCCCGCAACGAGCGCAACCCUUAUCCUUUGUUGCCAGCGGUUAGGCCGGGAACUCAAAGGAGACUGCCAGUGAUAAACUGGAGGAAGGUGGGGAUGACGUCAAGUCAUCAUGGCCCUUACGAGUAGGGCUACACACGUGCUACAAUGGCAUAUACAAAGAGAAGCGACCUCGCGAGAGCAAGCGGACCUCAUAAAGUAUGUCGUAGUCCGGAUUGGAGU